UGGGGAAUCUUGGACAAUGGGCGGAAGCCUGAUCCAGCCAUGCCGCGUGAGUGAAGAAGGCCCUAGGGUCGUAAAGCUCUUUCGCCAGGGAUGAUAAUGACAGUACCUGGUAAAGAAACCCCGGCUAACUCCGUGCCAGCAGCCGCGGUAAUACGGAGGGGGUUAGCGUUGUUCGGAAUUACUGGGCGUAAAGCGCGCGUAGGCGGACUAUUAAGUCAGGGGUGAAAUCCCGGGGCUCAACCCCGGAACUGCCUUUGAUACUGGUAGUCUAGAGUUCGAGAGAGGUGAGUGGAACUCCGAGUGUAGAGGUGAAAUUCGUAGAUAUUCGGAAGAACACCAGUGGCGAAGGCGGCUCACUGGCUCGAUACUGACGCUGAGGUGCGAAAGUGUGGGGAGCAAACAGGAUUAGAUACCCGGGUAGUCC
RNAcentral lists this ribosomal RNA (424 nucleotides) under uncultured prokaryote. RNAcentral's name for it is "bacterial SSU rRNA". It matches the Rfam family "Bacterial small subunit ribosomal RNA", at positions 355 to 796 of the family's 1533-position model. The record is from RNAcentral.